Molecule: ribosomal RNA, 500 nt
Filed under: uncultured bacterium
Lineage: Bacteria
Description: partial 16S ribosomal RNA
Rfam family: Bacterial small subunit ribosomal RNA
Source: RNAcentral
AUUGAACGCUGGCUGAAUGCUUUACACAUGCAAGUCGAACGGCAGCACGGACUUCGGUCUGGUGGCGAGUGGCGAACGGGUGAGUAAUGUAUCGGAACGUGUCAAGUCGUGGGGGAUAACGUAGUGAAAAUUACGCUAAUACCGCAUACGAUCUAUGGAUGAAAGCGGGGGAUCGCAAGACCCCGCGCGAUUGGAGCGGCCGAUAUCAGAUUAGGUAGUUGGUAGGGUAAAGGCUCCACAAGCCAACGAUCUGUAGCUGGUCUGAGAGGACGACCAGACACACUGGAACUGCGACACCGUCCAGACUCCUACGGGAGGCAGCAGUGGGGAAUUUUGGACAAUGGGCGAAAGCCUGAUCCAGCCAUUCCGCGUGCAGGAUGAAGGCCCUCGGGUUGUAAACUGCUUUUGUACAGAAAGAAAAGGUUUCUACUAAUACUAGGAGCUCAUGACGGUACUGUAAGAAUAAGCACCGGCUAACUACGUGCCAGCAGCCGCCGUAA